CUCGCAGCAGAGCAGAGCGUCCCGCAGCAGUUUGUGCCACAGUCCCGCACCGGGAGCGCGCAUUGCCUCUCCAGACACGCUAGAAAUCCCCCUCACGCAGCCCGUCAAAUCAAUCUGAGUGGGGGGAAAAAUAGGUUUGAGGCGAGUCGGCGGCGACAGGAGAGGGACAUUUACAGAUUAUUGUUUCAGAAGUGAGUAAGGGGCGCAAUGUAAGAGGCCUUCCUAGUAAAGAUAAGCGACCCGCAGCUGCGCACGGUUUGAAGCUGAAUUGGUUGCAUCCGCAGUUCCAAGUGCUCUUCACCAAUCCUUAGAAUGAGGCUAUAGGACUUCUGAGUCCUUUCUUCACCUGCAGUGCCUUCAGGGACGGCGCCAAGACAGCAUUACAGGUAUUCCCAGAAACAAGCUAA
Poecilia reticulata (guppy) is the source of this 407-nucleotide non-coding RNA. Lineage: Eukaryota; Metazoa; Chordata; Actinopteri; Cyprinodontiformes; Poeciliidae. The record is from RefSeq and is a predicted model, not a curated record.